AACGAACGCUGGCGGCAUGCCUAACACAUGCAAGUCGAACGAGACCUUCGGGUCUAGUGGCGCACGGGUGCGUAACGCGUGGGAACCUGCCCUUAGGUUCGGAAUAACUCCCCGAAAGGGGUGCUAAUACCGGAUAAUGUCUUCGGACCAAAGAUUUAUCGCCUUUGGAUGGGCCCGCGUUGGAUUAGCUAGUUGGUAGGGUAAAAGCCUACUAAGGCGACGAUCCAUAGCUGGUCUGAGAGGAUGAUCAGCCACACUGGGACUGAGACACGGCCCAGACUCCUACGGGAGGCAGCAGUGGGGAAUAUUGGACAAUGGGCUAAAUCCUGAUCCAGCAAUGCCGCGUGAGUGAUGAAGGCCUUAGGGUUGUAAAGCUCUUUUACCCGGGAUGAUAAUGACAGUACCGGGAGAAUAAGCUCCGGCUAACUCCGUG
This 433-nucleotide ribosomal RNA is filed under the name uncultured bacterium. RNAcentral describes it as "partial 16S ribosomal RNA". It matches the Rfam family "Bacterial small subunit ribosomal RNA", at positions 29 to 507 of the family's 1533-position model. The record is from RNAcentral.